RNA transcript from Bombus huntii, 1038 nucleotides. It is a transcript of the gene named adrenodoxin-like protein 2, mitochondrial, with no coding region annotated. The record is from RefSeq and is a predicted model, not a curated record. Lineage: Eukaryota; Metazoa; Arthropoda; Insecta; Hymenoptera; Apidae. The transcript has 4 exons.
CUGAAAUCAGAUGAAAUAAAUGUUGCCUGAGGUUUUAAACGUUUAAUAAAAACAACAUUUCAUUUGGAAAAAAUGUAAGAUAUGUAAAAUUACAUAUUGAUCAUUUUGCUGGUCUUGUAUCAUAAAACGUGUGGCCCGAAGAGCACGUGUCCGGUAGAGAUACGUCACUUGUGUUAGGAAUCGUUUUAUAACCUAUCACAGUAAAGGAACGUCCCAGCAUAGCAGCUGAAGAAUGCCGUGAAAGUUUUUGUACAAAGUACAAUUGAUCUACAAUUGAUAUUUUCCGCAAUACUUAUCUGGUGUUCGGUCAGGGUGUCCCAUACUCAUGAUAUUUAUGACAGUGGAAUGGCGUUAGUAAAUCAAUUACAAAAAUUUUCGAGAUCAAUUCUCGGUAUUGCAUCAAAUUAUUCAAAAUAUACAAGCAACACAACGUUGCCCUUUUUGCAGGCAACAAGAGGAAUAUCGACCACGCAACCACUUUCAGAAAAACAAGAGAGUAUAACAUCUAGAAAAAUAACAUAGUAUUAAUAGAAUAGUAUUAAUAAGAACAACAUUGACAGUGAACAACUAAAAAUAUAACACUGUUAUAAAUAUAUGAUAUACGAAUUUUAUUUAUGUAUUAUUAAGACAAGUAUAUCUUAUUUUUAAAUUAUUUCUAUUAUCAUAAGUGAUACAUAUAAUUAAGAGUAAAUAUAACGUUUGUUAAAGCAAGUGGAGAGAGAAUCAAAGCAAAAGGGAAAGUUGGAGAUACUAUAUUAGACAUAGUAGUAAAUAAUGAAAUUGAUUUAGAUGGAUAUGGUGCUUGUGAAGGAACAUUAACUUGUAGUACGUGCCAUUUAAUAUUUUCGAAAGAAGUUUAUGAUGCACUUCCUGACAAACCAACAGAUGAAGAAUUAGACAUGUUGGAUUUAGCAUAUGAAUUAACAGAUACGUUAUAAUCAGUAAUAUUAAUAAUCAGUAUCAAAUCAUUCACACUAUUAAUUCUAUUAUCUUAAAUACUACGAAACUGAAAUUAUAAUAAAUUUUCAUAGUUUUUUA